This 441-nucleotide ribosomal RNA is filed under the name uncultured bacterium. RNAcentral's name for it is "partial 16S ribosomal RNA". It matches the Rfam family "Bacterial small subunit ribosomal RNA", at positions 338 to 795 of the family's 1533-position model. The record is from RNAcentral.
CCUACGGGAGGCAGCAGUGGGGAAUAUUGGGCAAUGGGCGCAAGCCUGACCCAGCAAUGCCGCGUGAAGGAAGGUGGCUUUCGGGUUGUAAACUUCUUUGACAGGGGAAGAGCAGAAGACGGUACCCUGAAAACAAGCCACGGCUAACUACAUGCCAGCAGCCGCGGCAAUACGUAGGUGGCAAGAGUUGUCCGGAUGUACUGGGUGUAAAGGGCGUGUAGCCGGGAAGGCGAGUCAGAUGUGAAAUCUGGUGGCUCAAGCUCCAAAUUGCAUUUGAAACUGUUUUUCGGGAGUAUUGGGGAGGCAGACGGAAGUGCUGGUGUAGCGGUGAAAUGCGUAGAUAUAAGGAGGAACACCAGUGGCGAGGGCGGUCUGGUGGACAGCAACUGACGGUGAGGCGCGAAAGCGUGGGAGCAAACAGGAUUAGAUACCCUUGUAGUC